AGCAGCCGCGGUAAUUCCAGCUCCAAUAGCGUAUAUUAAAGUUGUUGCAGUUAAAAAGCUCGUAGUUGAAUUUCGGGAUCGACAGGUUGGUCGCGCCUUCGGUGUGUACUGAUCUAGUCGGUUUCUCCCUUCUGACGAACCACGAUGUCAUUAAUUUGGUGUCGUGGGGAAUCAGGACUGUUACUUUGAAAAAAUUAGAGUGUUUAAAGCAGGCAUUAGCUUGAAUACAUUAGCAUGGAAUAAUGAAAUAGGACGUUUGAUCCUAUUUUGUUGGUUUCUAGGAUCGACGUAAUGAUUAAUAGGGAUAGUUGGGGGCAUUAGUAUUCAAUUGUCAGAGGUGAAAUUCUUGGAUUUAUUGAAGACUAACUACUGCGAAAGCAUUUGCCAAGGAUGUUUUCAUUAAUCAAGAACGAAAGUUAGGGGAUCGAAGACGAUCAGAUACCGUCGUAG
This 450-nucleotide ribosomal RNA is filed under the name uncultured Glomus. RNAcentral's name for it is "SSU rRNA". It matches the Rfam family "Eukaryotic small subunit ribosomal RNA", at positions 569 to 1023 of the family's 1831-position model. Lineage: Eukaryota; Fungi; Glomeromycota; Glomeromycetes; Glomerales; Glomeraceae. The record is from RNAcentral.